This 860-nucleotide ribosomal RNA is filed under the name uncultured bacterium. Its description in RNAcentral is "SSU rRNA". It matches the Rfam family "Bacterial small subunit ribosomal RNA", at positions 524 to 1381 of the family's 1533-position model. The record is from RNAcentral.
UACGGAGGUGGCAAGCGUUGUUCGGAAUUACUGGGCGUAAAGGGCGCGUAGGCGGCUUGGCAAGUCAGAUGUGAAAGCCCCGGGCUUAACUUGGGAAUUGCAUCUGAAACUGCUUUGCUUGAGUCCUGGAGGGGGUAGUGGAAUUCCCAGUGUAGCGGUGAAAUGCGUAGAUAUUGGGAGGAACACCGGCGGCGAAGGCGGCUACCUGGACAGUGACUGACGCUGAGGCGCGAAAGCUAGGGGAGCAAACGGGAUUAGAUACCCCGGUAGUCCUAGCCGUAAACGAUGGGCACUUGGUGUUGGGGGUAUUGAGUCCCCCAGUGUCGUAGUUAACAUGGUAAGUGCCCCGCCUGGGGAGUACGGUCGCAAGACUGAAACUCAAAGGAAUUGACGGGGGCCCGCACAAGCGGUGGAGCAUGUGGUUCAAUUCGACGCAACGCGAAGAACCUUACCGGGGCUUGAACGGUAGUCGCUACCCCUGGAAACGGGGGGUUCUCGUAAGGGACGGCUACCGAGGUGCUGCAUGGCUGUCGUCAGCUCGUGUCGUGAGAUGUUGGGUUAAGUCCCGCAACGAGCGCAACCCUUGCCCUUAGUUGCCACCAGGUAAUGCUGAGCACCCUAAGGGAACUGUCGGCGAAAAGCCGGAGGAAGGUGGGGAUGACGUCAAGUCCUCAUGGCCCUUACGUCCCGGGCUACACACGUGCUACAAUGGCCGGUACAAAGGGUUGCCAACCCGCGAGGGGGAGCUAAUCCCAAAAAGCCGGUCCCAGUCCGGAUUGCAGUCUGCAACUCGACUGCAUGAAGUCGGAAUCGCUAGUAAUCGCAGAUCAGAACGCUGCGGUGAAUACGUUCCCGGGCCU